RNAcentral lists this ribosomal RNA (744 nucleotides) under Kosakonia cowanii. RNAcentral describes it as "bacterial SSU rRNA". It matches the Rfam family "Bacterial small subunit ribosomal RNA", at positions 47 to 780 of the family's 1533-position model. The record is from RNAcentral. Lineage: Bacteria; Pseudomonadati; Pseudomonadota; Gammaproteobacteria; Enterobacterales; Enterobacteriaceae.
CCUAACACAUGCAAGUCGAACGGUAACAGGAAGCAGCUUGCUGCUUCGCUGACGAGUGGCGGACGGGUGAGUAAUGUCUGGGAAACUGCCUGAUGGAGGGGGAUAACUACUGGAAACGGUAGCUAAUACCGCAUAACGUCGCAAGACCAAAGAGGGGGACCUUCGGGCCUCUUGCCAUCAGAUGUGCCCAGAUGGGAUUAGCUAGUAGGUGGGGUAACGGCUCACCUAGGCGACGAUCCCUAGCUGGUCUGAGAGGAUGACCAGCCACACUGGAACUGAGACACGGUCCAGACUCCUACGGGAGGCAGCAGUGGGGAAUAUUGCACAAUGGGCGCAAGCCUGAUGCAGCCAUGCCGCGUGUAUGAAGAAGGCCUUCGGGUUGUAAAGUACUUUCAGCGGGGAGGAAGGCGAUGCGGUUAAUAACCGCGUCGAUUGACGUUACCCGCAGAAGAAGCACCGGCUAACUCCGUGCCAGCAGCCGCGGUAAUACGGAGGGUGCAAGCGUUAAUCGGAAUUACUGGGCGUAAAGCGCACGCAGGCGGUCUGUCAAGUCGGAUGUGAAAUCCCCGGGCUCAACCUGGGAACUGCAUCCGAAACUGGCAGGCUUGAGUCUCGUAGAGGGGGGUAGAAUUCCAGGUGUAGCGGUGAAAUGCGUAGAGAUCUGGAGGAAUACCGGUGGCGAAGGCGGCCCCCUGGACGAAGACUGACGCUCAGGUGCGAAAGCGUGGGGAGCAAACAGGAUUA